Long non-coding RNA from Solea solea (common sole), 3107 nucleotides. RefSeq lists it as uncharacterized. Lineage: Eukaryota; Metazoa; Chordata; Actinopteri; Pleuronectiformes; Soleidae. The record is from RefSeq and is a predicted model, not a curated record. The transcript is spliced from 2 exons.
ACUGACCAAAAACUGCACACCUGCACUUUUUUCUCCAGGCGUUUGACCACGGCCGAAAGAAAUUAUGACAUUGGCAACAGGGAGCUUCAGGGAGCUUCAACAGUCCAAACAGGGAGGUUUGGACUGAUCAUAAGAACCUUGAGUAUGUCAAGUCCGCCAGACGUCUAAACUCCCGGCAGGCUUGCUGGUCGCUCUUCCUCACCCAGUUCAACUUUACUCUCUCGUAUUGGUCGGGAACAGUGGAACAGUGAGGCCAAUUCCAUCAUUGUGUAAAGACCUGGAAGUAAAAGCUGAAAUGUUCAUCUAUUGUCUCAUAUUCAUCUUUUGAUGUCAAACCCAAACGUGUUCAGUCUAUGGCAAAAAAAGGGAUUGGCCUCACUGUUCCAACACUAUAAGAGGACACUCUGGGCUCUAUCUUGCACUCAGCACAAUUGACUUUGUACACUGGCGCUUGUACAAUUCCUAUUUUGCACUCGACGCACAUUGGAAUUUUCCCUCCACAAGCGCAGGUCCCUAAAUUGUUGAAUGAACUUGCGCUCUGGGGCGGUUCAGCGAAAAGAGGAGGCGUGUUCCGGCGCAAACGUUCCCUGGUGCUAUUUUGCUGUUUCAAAAUACAAUUCCGCCACAGACCAGGAAAAACCUAAUCUAAAGUCAGUGGCGCUUAUUCAGAUGCUAUUUUAAGGGCGCACACUUGGCCAUAAUGUAGCACAACGUGCAUCCACUUUGCUUCUCUCAUCUACAAGGAAGCCGUUCCCAUUUUUGCUAACAUGAAUUGUGGAUGUGUUGAUGACAUAAAUGAGGAAAUAUUACAGGACUUCAGGAGACAUGAUGUUGAACUGCAUGUGCUGAUGCCAUUUAACCCAAAUACCCCAGAAGAGCUGCAUCAUCUAUAGUGAGGCAUGCGACACGCGCUACGGCGGGAUUGGACACAUGAGGGUCCGGGAGUGGCAAUGCACAACAGGAGCAAGUGGUGCAUUUGGAGGCCCACGCUCCAUGGCUGCAGCAAUCCUCUCCAAACUUGAGGAGAUGCGUCUGAGAGGCCACAGCAACAUCGCCACCCGGUCAAGACAGGCAUUAACACCUUGCCGCAUCCCGGACAGCUCCCGCUCCAGCAUGUCAAACCCAGUUUGCUGGAGUUGCAGGAAAGGAUGGUCCUCCAGUCUGACGAUGCUGCCACGUCUAGUGGGUCUGGAUCCUCUCCUCUGUGUUAGCGCUGCUCAUGUGAAAUCUGAACUUAAUUUGUAAGUGUUCCGGGAGGUUGGACAGCUAGUGUAUUGGGUUGGGUGCCGAUUUAUAAGCCCCCAAAUAUGCAGCGAUGUACUCUGCUGGCGUCAGGUCCUGAGUAGAGGCAGAUCCACCUCCAGUUACACUGCGUGUCCAAUUGUUGCAAGCAAGCUUGGACUUCCCCCGUCUUCUGAAAUUGUUGUAGCGCUUGCGGCACUGGUGCGAUGUCCUGGGGAUGCCAGCCGUAGAUACAAUUGUGGCGAUUUCCUCCCAUGCCUGUUUAACUAAAACUAGUUUGGGUGGGUUUCUCACAAGGACAAGGAUGUCAGUCUCCUCGGCUGAGAAUCGCUCCUGGUGUGCGCCAGGUAAAUCCACCAUUAUAAUAGCAAUCUCCCAAGGAACAAGCGCCCCUGCAUUUAAAGGGAAUGUGAGAUGAUGCUCUGAUUGUUUUAUUCCAGCGUUACGCCCAAACCACACCUAUGACCCACAAAGCUACUUGCGGUUUGCGUUUGAUACUUGUGUUUCAGAUCGGCAAGAUAGGGCCACCGAAGUGUAUGACUGAUUCACUGUGAAACAAAGGUGACAGAAGUGAUAUUCACAGUAGAAGUAUCAGUGUUUGCAUAGUGGAGGCCAUCCUGGAAUCCUGAACUCGGGAUAUGCGAGGUUGCGAGUAUCAAAGUAAAAUGUCCAAGGUCUUUUCCGUGACUACCAAAAUUCCGAGUUCCAACUACAAAUGGAUUGCAGCAUAACACCAUAUCUGAACGAUGCCUUGAUGUCAAAAAGCCGACAUACACCUCCCAUGUAUUUAUCUUUGAGGGUAUCUAUAGAUAAAUAGAUAAAUAAAACAUCUUAUUAAAUUUGCAUUUCAACCAGGGCCAUCUAUCCACCACAAACUGAUGUGCUGCCUCCAGGUGUCGUUAAAUAUUUGUGUGAGGGUGUGGUAUGUGAUGAUCCCUCGCCAAACCCUUUUUCUGUCCACAUGGCAACCAUGCUGCCACGCUAGCGAGAGGAAGCUUACACAAGAGACCUUGUGUUCACAGUUACAUUUCACAACAGAGCAGCUAAAAUAGCAGUGGGUCGACCUGUGAACUCACGAGUAAUGAGAGCGCUUUUGGGGAAGAGUGAGAGACUGAUGAAUAAAAGGAAAACAGAUAUGGUCCUGCUGCCACUUUGCCCUUUCAGCAGAGUUUAAUUAAAGAACAUUUUGAGAAACAAUGUUAAACUUCUACUAUAACUACUAUUAUUUUUUAUUUUCUACCCAUUUAAUCCCAUUUGCAAGCCCUCAGAUGAAGGUUAUAUAUGUAGAAUAUGUACAGCAGUGACCUUUAGUAUUUAAAAUGGUUCCUGCUAUCACAAGUCAAAACAGAAUUAUAACAUGCUAAACUUAUAGUUGUGUUACCCUGUGUUCACGCACACGUACAUCACUGUCCCAUUGUCUUUGUGCACAAAGUGAAUUUUCUUUUAAAACUGACCUUGCUUUAACCGCUCUGCAGCAGCUGGUUCAUCUGUGCUGCUCGUUUUCUUGCCUUGCUUUAAUUCUUUAAUUCUUAAUUUAUGUGUCUUUGUACACAGUCCUGUUAUAGUGAUAUAAGUUACUGACUUAUAAAUAUACCGUCAAUCACCCUCAGCACUGACCUUACUUUUCUUCAAAAAUGGGCUACUGUGCUCACAGUCACUUUACUUGCUGGUAAUAAUAAUCAUUUUGUAAUAGGUAGAUAAUAUUAUAAUAAUAACAACACAAGCGUGUAGUAAUAAGGAUAUAACACGUCACUGAUACCAUGCAAUAUUCAGGUUAUGGUUUGUAAGAAUGACUAUAGGCUACCAUCACUGUGAUACCUUUACAUGAAUAUUUUUAUUAAUAAAAGUUACAUUAUUACAUUUUC